CCACCGCGGUUAUACGAGAGGCCCAAGUUGACAGUUGCCGGCGUAAAGAGUGGUUAAAGAAUAAUAGAUACUAAAGCCGAACACCCUCAAGGCAGUUAUACGCACCCGAAGGUUAGAAGCCCAAUUACGAAAGUAGCUUUAUUUCUCCUGAACCCACGAGAGCUAUGGUACAAACUGGGAUUAGAUACCCCACUAUGCCUAGCCCUAAACAUUGAUAGUACCCUACACCCACUAUCCGCCUGGGAACUACGAGCAUCAGCUUGAAACCCAAAGGACUUGGCGGUGCUUUAGAUCCACCUAGAGGAGCCUGUUCUAGAACCGAUAACCCCCGUUCAACCUCACCUUUUCUUGUUUUCCCCGCCUAUAUACCGCCGUCGUCAGCUUACCCUGUGAAGGUCUAAUAGUAAGCAAAAUUGGCACAGCCCAAAACGUCAGGUCGAGGUGUAGCGUAUGGAAAGGGAAGAAAUGGGCUACAUUCCCUAUAACUAGUGAAUACGGACGAUGCACUGAAAAAACAUCUGAAGGAGGAUUUAGCAGUAAGCAGGAAAUAGAGCGUUCCGCUGAAAUCGGCCCUGAAGCGCGCACACACCGCCCGUCACUCUCCCCAAGCUCACAAACUAAUUAACUAAAAACCUAGAACUGCAAAGGGGAGGCAAGUCGUAACAUGGUAAGUG
Molecule: ribosomal RNA, 674 nt
Filed under: Peristedion miniatum (armored searobin)
Lineage: Eukaryota; Metazoa; Chordata; Actinopteri; Perciformes; Peristediidae
Description: partial small subunit ribosomal RNA
Rfam family: Bacterial small subunit ribosomal RNA
Source: RNAcentral